RNAcentral lists this transfer RNA (74 nucleotides) under Candidatus Brennerbacteria bacterium CG_4_10_14_0_2_um_filter_43_14. Its description in RNAcentral is "tRNA-Ala". It matches the Rfam family "tRNA". From Rfam's summary of the family: Transfer RNA (tRNA) molecules are approximately 80 nucleotides in length. Their secondary structure includes four short double-helical elements and three loops (D, anti-codon, and T loops). Further hydrogen bonds mediate the characteristic L-shaped molecular structure. tRNAs have two regions of fundamental functional importance: the anti-codon, which is responsible for specific mRNA codon recognition, and the 3' end, to which the tRNAs corresponding amino acid is attached (by aminoacyl-tRNA synthetases). tRNAs cope with the degeneracy of the genetic code in two manners: having more than one tRNA (with a specific anti-codon) for a particular amino acid; and 'wobble' base-pairing, i.e. permitting non-standard base-pairing at the 3rd anti-codon position. RNAcentral also lists the same sequence under 3 other names. The record is from RNAcentral. Lineage: Bacteria; Candidatus Brenneribacteriota.
GGGCCUGUGGUCUAGUGGCAGAACAGCGCGUUUGCAUCGCGCAGGCGGGAGUUCGAUUCUCCCCAGGUCCACAA